RNAcentral lists this transfer RNA (64 nucleotides) under Pseudocuneopsis capitata. RNAcentral's name for it is "Cuneopsis capitatus tRNA-Asp". Lineage: Eukaryota; Metazoa; Mollusca; Bivalvia; Unionida; Unionidae. The record is from RNAcentral.
AAAGAAUUAGUUAAAAAUAUAAUUUGAAUUUGUCAAAUUCAAGUUGCCUGUAUGGUAUUCUUUU